AACCAAGAGGAUCAAAUUAUAUAUCUACGGUGAAAAAAUAGUUAAAUUUUAAUAAGUUUAUUGAAUAUUUAUACAAGAGUAAAAUCUAAAUAUAAAUAGAAAAUUCUAAUUAAGCUUAAAUAUUGAAGCUAUGAAAACCUUGAGGGAAACUGGGAUUAGAUACCCCAUUAUUCUUGGAUGUAAAAUAAUCAUAAUUUACCAGAGUACUAUGAACUAACAAUUUAAAACUUAAAGGGCUUGGCGGUGUUUUAGACCUCUUAGGGGAACCUGUCUCAUAAUCGACAGUCCACGCUAAACCUGACCUUUUUUU
RNAcentral lists this ribosomal RNA (310 nucleotides) under Drupella rugosa. RNAcentral describes it as "partial 12S ribosomal RNA". Lineage: Eukaryota; Metazoa; Mollusca; Gastropoda; Neogastropoda; Muricidae. The record is from RNAcentral.